Molecule: non-coding RNA, 73 nt
Organism: Nematostella vectensis (starlet sea anemone)
Lineage: Eukaryota; Metazoa; Cnidaria; Anthozoa; Actiniaria; Edwardsiidae
Source: Rfam
GGCCCUGAGGCCCAAUAGAUAAGUGGCCUGACUACGGAUCAGGAGAUUCUAGGUUAGAGUCCUGGCAAGGUCU